This is a long non-coding RNA of Dromaius novaehollandiae (emu), 1924 nucleotides long. RefSeq lists it as uncharacterized. The transcript is spliced from 6 exons. The record is from RefSeq and is a predicted model, not a curated record. NCBI's taxonomy places the organism in Eukaryota, Metazoa, Chordata, Aves, Casuariiformes, Dromaiidae.
GCGGAGCGGAGCAGCCUGGGAGAGCGGGCGGGGCCUGCCGGCGCCCUGCCCUCGGCCCGCUCUGUGCACCCGCCGCCCCUCACCUGGCCGCCGCGGCCUGCGGAGCGGGGUUGGCGGGGGCACUGCACGACCGUCCGCCUCCGGGCUCGCGAGGCGCCGAGGAGACGGUUCAUAACAGCUCCUCACUGCUGCGGUGGCGGCCCCGCGAGCGGCGGGCGGGCUGGCGGGCGGGCCCCGCGGCGAAGCGGGGCGUGAAGGAAUGCGACGGGCAGCUGCCGCGGGGCCCCGGGGGGCGGGUCGCGGGGCCGGUGGCUGGUUUCAGCCGGUCUCCGAGUUAUCUGCUGCGGUUAAUUUUUUGCCUGUAUCAUUUUUGUGCCUUCGUAUGCUUUUUUUUUUUUUUUUAAUCCCCUGCGGGUUAUGUACUUGCUCACCUCCUUCCUCCACUUACUUUCCAGUUUCCACCGGCGUUUCUUUGUGAGAGCGUUUGCAGUCCUCCAGAACCGGGGUGUGGGGGGGGAAGUGCUAUGCAUCUGCAACGAUUUAAACAUCUCCAGUAAUACCAUCCUUUGCAUUAGCUGUGUGGAAGAGUCAUGUUCUCUCUUUUCUUUCUUUUUUCCUUCCUUUGAGUUUUAUCUUGUACAUCUUCGUUAUUUUUCAGGUUUUAUAGGGCGGUUUGAACGCUUUAUUUUCUGCCGGAAAAGUCAAACUCUACCAAAAUACAGCAUUUUGCCAGUCUAGAAAAAAAAUUGUUUUUACUGAUGCUGGGAAUCUCAGAGGUUAAAGGGUUUGCCAAAGAAGUACGAUGGGCACAAGAGAAGAAUGCCUCCCAACAACCUGAGACUUGCACGCAGACUGCAGAUCUACUGCUGCAGUCUUUAAACUUGAAGAGCUGACAACUUUUCUGGCUUGUUUGAAUCGGCAAAACUUUUAACAUGUGAAAAGGAAAGAAUAUGCAUUCCUGCUCCAACCCCCUGCCUCCCUCCGCAGCAGCAGAGAUGACAAAUGAUCUUUCUGGCAACAACAUCAACUGCCUACAUUGGAAAUAAACAAUGUUUUGACAGCAAAUGAGUAUCAGUGUAGACACAAGCCUGCAUUCCAUGCUUGUAUGAAGCUGAACACAAGGCCUUGCAUGCUGCUGGAGGCAAAACUUCGAAAAAGGAAGACAAAAUGCCAACAAUGUUAACCAGAAGAAAGAAAAAAGCCCAGGAAACAUAACUAUUUUAAUAACUGUGCAAGUCCAAUACAUACUGCAAUUGCAGUUAUGUUUCAUUUCUUUGACUCAACCCUGAAAAGGAGAAAGGGCAGUAAUGUUGAAAGCACUACCGAAGGUCUAAUUAUUGUCUAAUGAUAUAAAUACUGUUGCUGAUAAUUACACUUAAUUAAAUUAUUAACUAGGUGUUGACUAAUUAACUAGGGCUUUGUAAAUGUGAAGCACUCUUAAUAGCUAUUAUUAUUGUACUGCUUAUAACUAAAUAUCUUUGCUACCGCAUGUGUACACAGGCUUCUGCUGCAAUCUCUGUGAACUGAUAUCCCAGUUAUGCCAUUGCCACUCAUUGCUCAUAAAAUGUACAAAGCUAUAUGCAAUGUUAUUUCCCUUAAAGAACUGUAAAAAAGAUAAAUGAUAUCCAAUGAGCUGAGAACAUGACAUCAGAUCCAGUUGUUUGAUUCCCUCGGUAGGUAAUUGCGUACAUUCCCAUGUGAGUGCAUAUUUUUUUUAUCUGCCUUCUUUUAACUCUGUAUGGAAAUUGAGACUUUCAAAUAUUUCAAUAAUAGCAUGAAAUGGAGUAUUUUAAUGGCCUUUUGUUUUUAUGAACUGCUUGAUAUGAGCCAAAUCUCAAACUGCUUAAGUCAAUAAAAGAUUGCCAUUGACUCCAGCGGACUAUUGGAGAGACCUUACAUUCAAAAGAAUAAAAUGUUGAGAUCA